GGCUGGUCAACUGUCUUCGACAACAAUGUAAACAACAGUUGUCGGACUGCAUAUCCCAGGAUACAACACAGUCACACAAUUCGAAAAACAUUCAUGGAUCCUACAGUAUGACGAAAUUCCACUUGCGUCCUAUGUUUUUAUCAAGCAGAACAGGUUUGCACGAACGCUAUGAGAUCAAGCGCAGCUGUUUUCACAAGACAGAAUCCAUUUCCUCCGGAUCCCCCUUUGUCCAGGAGCCACUACAGUCCAUCAAGAUCCAAAAAAAUCCCAAAGCAACAAAGAAGACUGGCCUUGAGUCCUGUCCGCUUUACUGAGCCACCCAGUCCUUCAGAUCCUCCCACUCAGGCGUUACCUUUGAGGACCGAGGACCAGGUCUGCCAUGAAAGAUCACGUAUUGUCCUGCUCUGCCCUCCUACUACUGAACGCCAGCUGAGCUACUCCGAGUCUUGGCCUUCUACUGACCUGAGUUGCUCUACAGACAACACUAACACUUCGGCCUGCUCUGAAGCUCAGAUGCAAGCCAUGAGAAGCAUGGUUGCGCCAACGACAAUUGAGGCAAAGGAACCCUCAGUUCUGGCAAAGUACAUUGAACGCUUCCGCUUCGGAAAGCCACAGAGUCGAGAAGAAAGACACCUUCAGGCAACUGAGGGAGAAGAUGACCAGCCGUUUUGGUGGAUGCCCACAUCCCCUCCAUCCAGUUCAACACCAACACAACCAUCAGAGAAAUAUAUCAGAGAACCACUAGAUCUCAUGAACGAUGGACCCGCCAGCACCCAGAGAACCAUCUCAAAGCCACUGCAUGAUGAAACCACGCUGUCUCCAGCUAGACUCAUGCUUGACCUUAGCACGCUGACAUUAUCUGAAUCAUCCCACUGUGAUCAAGAAGAACCAGAGAUACUGCAGCUACAGGAGCGGGCCAGCCGUUUACUGCAGAGGAGUUCUGGGGGUCUGGGCUGCUCUGAUUUCUCUUCCCCCGUAAGCACUGAUGAGCCGGUCCGAAGACCAGUCGUGUCCACCUUAAUGGGCUCAACCAACAUGGUUCUAGAGCCCGGUAUGUGCGAGGGAACGUCUUUUCCUCCUCUUGCGGUUGGUUCUGAGGGGUCAGGUAUCCGUCGUGAAGAUGACAUCCUGUUUCAGUGGCGACUAAGAAGGAAGAUGGAACAGGCCAGACAAUGGUGUCAGGAGGCCCCUUCCCACAAUUCUGUUCUCCAUAUACCUCUAUCACACAGUGUCGGACCAAACCAGGUUGUCUCUGAGGUGCUUUUUGCUGGUACAGACUCAUCAAGCCAGUCCAAGACUCCAAGUUCUUCAGAUUCCCCAGUAUAUACCCCACCUCCACCCCCACAAUCCCCUGUGGUCUCUUGUUCCGGUGUGCAGCAACCCUUGGAGGUCAUAGGUCAGCUCAUGCAGGAUGCAGAAGGUAAGAAGGCCUCAUGCAUUCAUUUAAACUAGCUGUAAAACUGCCUGAUGAUGUGUUUUUAACAGGUCACGUGUUUUAGCCUGAGCCGGUUAUAAAUAGCAGGAUUGACCCUUUAGAGUGUGCUUAGAACAAUAGAAUGCAUGUUACCAUUAAUAUAAGUGACGUGACAUGUGGCCAAGUAUGGUGACCCAUACUCGGAAUUAGUGCUCUGCAUUUAACCCAUCCAAAGUGCGCACACA
This 1659-nucleotide long non-coding RNA is filed under the name Sinocyclocheilus grahami. RNAcentral describes it as "lncRNA (ENSSGRG00000017704.1)". The record is from RNAcentral. Lineage: Eukaryota; Metazoa; Chordata; Actinopteri; Cypriniformes; Cyprinidae.